UACGUAGGUGGCAAGCGUUGUUCGGAAUUAUUGGGCGUAAAGGGCGCGUAGGCGGUUUGUUAAGUCGGUUGUGAAAGUCCGGGGCUCAACUCCGGAUCUGCGGUGGGUACGGGCAGACUAGAGUGAUGUAGGGGAGACUGGAAUUCCUGGUGUAGCGGUGAAAUGCGCAGAUAUCAGGAGGAACACCGAUGGCGAAGGCAGGUCUCUGGGCAUUAACUGACGCUGAGGAGCGAAAGCAUGGGGAGCGAACAGG
RNAcentral lists this ribosomal RNA (253 nucleotides) under uncultured bacterium. Its description in RNAcentral is "partial 16S ribosomal RNA". It matches the Rfam family "Bacterial small subunit ribosomal RNA", at positions 524 to 776 of the family's 1533-position model. The record is from RNAcentral.